UCUAUUGGAAAAGAGGGACUA
Non-coding RNA from Caenorhabditis elegans, 21 nucleotides. Lineage: Eukaryota; Metazoa; Nematoda; Chromadorea; Rhabditida; Rhabditidae. The record is from Ensembl.